Molecule: long non-coding RNA, 2607 nt
Organism: Venturia canescens
Lineage: Eukaryota; Metazoa; Arthropoda; Insecta; Hymenoptera; Ichneumonidae
Exons: 3
Source: RefSeq, a predicted model, not a curated record
CGGCGUUAAAACGAAAUAAACAGCAACUCUUCAGCUGUACUAACAAAAGCUCAAUUCGUAAAUGUGAUCGUUCCCCUCAUUUCUUGAAAAACGAUUUAAAAAGUUGACGCCUUGCUGCCAGAGCUCCAAUAUAAAAAACACCACAUCUUGGCUUUUCAGUUAUACGCAAAUGAAAAUUUAUGUUCGUGGUCACGCGCAUCUCUCAAACGCUAUCGUCUUCGACGUGUAAUAAUUCUCCAAUUAUUCCUGACAUCGUCGUGAUUCUUUCGAUCAGUUAAGGUGUCGCUAGAACUAAUAUUCUGCUUCGGAUUUUUGCUACAACCUACCAAGCUGAGCAUGCGCAUUCCAACGAUCUUUUACACGGCGCGACGAGAAAGUUUACUACGACUAGAUACGAAACGAGAAACGUCUUGGACGUCUAGACGACCGUGAGCCAAACUUCCGCGAAUUGCAAGAAAUUUUACCUGACUGCAUUACUCGUGAUAUGAAAUUCGAUUCGUGAGUAUUCCAACUAAGGCAUGAAACUCUAUCAAUCGUCGACGUUGCGUAUACAACCGUUUUGUGCAGUGAUGAGCACAAAGAAAAUAACGAAAGAUUUUUGAGACUUUUCGAGUAACUAUUCCGAAGCAUUAUUCUAGUUGUCAAGGCAACGCGCGUUGUUCGAACGAGGGUGCUAAACCGAGACGAAAAAGCGGGUGAAGAAGAGAAAAUUGAAGAUUACUGACUGGAGAAAGAGACAGGAAGAGAACGAUAUUGGAAAAAAGAAAGAGAAAGACGAAAAGUUCGGAGAUAAGUGGAGCGUGAAACGGUGAAAAGAACGAGACACGUCGGCAACGUAGCGUCGAGCUCGGUAUCUCAGUUCGUUGCUGAGAGAAUGAAAGAAAGAGAGAUAAAGAGCGUCAGAGGCGGAGCAAGAAAGACCGGUAAUGAACUCUGGCAACGUUGCCGAUUGUUUAGGAUUUUUUUACCGAGCGAGAUCGACCGUGAGAAAGAAAGAGACGAUCAUAGCGCCCGAGAAAAAGGAAAGAGAGAGAUGCGGAAAGAAGGAAAGAAGGAAAGGCGCAAAGAGAGUGAAAGAGAUGGAUAAUGGGAGAGGAAAAGGGAGAGAGCGAGGGGAAGAAAUCGAAAUAACGAGUCACUGGGUAUACCCACGAGUGGUUACAGUAGAAAAACGUCUCGUAUGUACACCUACUGUUUCGAAGUUGAGCAAACGUCAACUUCAUUUCCUCUCCCUCCCCUGUCUCUUUUGCUCUCUCAUUUUCUCUCUAUACUUGUGUCGUCCUUGGUUAAUCGAUAGCAACAAACACAAGCGUGCCAAGAAAUAUUCACGGAAAUUAUAAACCGCCUUGUACACAAACGAUUCUGUGAUAAACGUACGACGAAGGUUAGUCGAUGGACGAUGAACGCGUCAAACGAGACUAGCCGAUCUAAAGCUCUAGGGCUUAAGAUGAUGGAACGUUUUAUUUUCGACCCUGCAUUCGAUCUUCGAUCCUUCUUAUAAAUGUGACUUUUUUUAAGCUCCUUCGAUUCGUUCCCUAGAAAAUGUCAUCGAUAACGAAGACACGUUCACAGAACGAGUGAUGAUAUAACUGCAGCGAUAAAUCGAUGUCUGCGUGGAUCGCGCUGGACAAACAAAUUUCAAAAACGGGGUACCUUCGAAUCCUCGAAAUUUUUAAGUCAUCGUGUAAGCGAAAAAAAACGUGCUUUUUCCGACAACUGUUACCGGGCAGCGUGAUAGUGAGGCGAAAUAAUAAUCUUCCGGGUUCAUCAAAUUUAGGGCUAUACGUGAGUUAAAAAAACGAACACUUACAGCUCGUGAAGAAGGAAUAAAAAGAAGGACGAGUUGAAAUAUCCUGCUGAUUCGAGGCCUCCACUUUUACUACGCUCAGCCUGUAAGGCUGCACAUUUGAUCGCGAAUGUUCACCUAACACUCCGUAGCUCGUUGAUAACGUGUUACGAAUAAAUUGGGUAACUGCAGAAACAAGAAUCGAGAGGGUCGCGAAAAAAUUUAUACGGAGUCGAUAAAGCCAGAUUCCGUCCAUAAUUAUAUUCCACGCUGGAAAACGGGUAUCACGAUUUAUAUCGGGCUAGACGGAUUGUAUUAUAUUCAACGACUACCGUACAUCUGGCUCUUCCCACUGGACUGAUUUCGUCGUACGUCUGAGUAUUUCAAAGAACCUACAAUGACCCGCCAACUUCGCAGUCCUGGGAAAGGUCCAAUUACUGUAGCCGUCUACUAUUUCACGUUUGGGAAGAAGACUCGAAGGUCAGAACCCGGACCUAGGUAAAAAGACCUUAGCGAGUCUUACCCCGAAGAAAAAUGGAACAAAAAGAGCCCUUGAAAAUAUAAAAAUCUGGAAACAUUAUCCAAACUCGUCAUUUUGUGUCUGGCGAGACACAGGUCAGGGGCUGUUUUUUUGAAACUGCUAUCAACUUAACUCCGUUCCGAUUUGAUGGAAUAGUGUUUUACUUUAAUUUUCAAUUCAGGAAAAAAACAGUGACGCAUUAAUUAAGAAUAAAUUUGAUGCAUGUUUUGUAUCAGCGUCAACUAUUUCUUGGUUUUUGGGCUCCAACUGAAGUGAAUAAAAAUUCUUAAAUGAUCUGCAG